Molecule: ribosomal RNA, 494 nt
Filed under: uncultured bacterium
Lineage: Bacteria
Description: partial 16S ribosomal RNA
Rfam family: Bacterial small subunit ribosomal RNA
Source: RNAcentral
GACGAACGCUGGCGGCGUGCUUAACACAUGCAAGUCGAACGGUGAAGCGCCUUCCUUUUUGGUGGGUGUGGAUGAGUGGCGAACGGGUGAGUAACACGUGAGUAACCUGCCCCCUUCUUCUGGAUAACCGCAUGAAAGUGUGGCUAAUACGGGAUAUUCUGGGUCUGUCGCAUGAUGGGUCUGGGAAAGAUAUUGUUUCGGUGGGGGAUGGGCUCGCGGCCUAUCAGCUUGUUGGUGGGGUGAUGGCCUACCAAGGCGGUGACGGGUAGCCGGCCUGAGAGGGUGGACGGUCACACUGGGACUGAGACACGGCCCAGACUCCUACGGGAGGCAGCAGUGGGGAAUAGGGCACAAUGGGCGCAAGCCUGAUGCAGCGACGCCGCGUGAGGGAUGGAGGCCUUCGGGUUGUGAACCUCUUUCGCCAGUGAAGCAGGCCUGCCUCGUUUGUGGGUGGGUUGACGGUAGCUGGAUAAGAAGCGCCGGCUAACUACGUG